AGGGCUGUAGCUCAGUGGUAGAGAAUCUGUUUUGCAUGCAGGAGGCAUAAGGUUCAAUACCCGACAUCUCUA
Non-coding RNA from Podarcis lilfordi (Lilford's wall lizard), 72 nucleotides. The record is from the annotation of a GenBank genome assembly. NCBI's taxonomy places the organism in Eukaryota, Metazoa, Chordata, Lepidosauria, Squamata, Lacertidae.